RNAcentral lists this ribosomal RNA (496 nucleotides) under uncultured bacterium. RNAcentral describes it as "partial 16S ribosomal RNA". It matches the Rfam family "Bacterial small subunit ribosomal RNA", at positions 29 to 507 of the family's 1533-position model. The record is from RNAcentral.
AUGAACGCUGGCGGCGUGCCUAAUACCUGCAAGUCGCGCGCACAGACGAGGAGCUUGCUCCUCUGACGUUAGCGGCGGACGGGUGAGUAACACGUGGAUAACCUACCUAUAAGACUGGGAUAACUUCGGGAAACCGGAGCUAAUACCGGAUAAUAUAUUGAACCGCAUGGUUCAAUAGUGAAAGACGGUUUUGCUGUCACUUAUAGAUGGAUCCGCGCCGCAUUAGCUAGUUGGUAAGGUAACGGCUUACCAAGGCAACGAUGCGUAGCCGACCUGAGAGGGUGAUCGGCCACACUGGAACUGAGACACGGUCCAGACUCCUACGGGAGGCAGCAGUAGGGAAUCUUCCGCAAUGGGCGAAAGCUUGACGGAGCAACGCCGCGUGAGUGAUGAAGGUCUUCGGAUCGUAAAACUCUGUUAUUAGGGAAGAACAAAUGUGUAAGUAACUAUGCACGUCUUGACGGUACCUAAUCAGAAAGCCACGGCUAACUACGUG